CUAUACAUUACUCAUUGCUUACCACGAUAAGUGUAGUCACCAUCUGUCAUCAAAUAAGAUACCUCACAAGCAACUGGAUAUCAUCACAGUUGCCCAUGGGAUGUCUCCUGUGAUUGUCACUCUGCUGGUGCUGCUCAUUGUGAUCACUGCCCUUACCUUGUAUCUGACAGUAAAGUGCAUCUACCUGGCUUCUACAAAAGAAAAAUGGCUCUGACAUGAAGGGAAGUUCAUUGGAAUUUGGGGGCUCAAAUUCCAUAGCUUUGUCUGUGUCUGUCCAAUGUUUCUCUUUUUACUGCACAGUCUCUGCUUCUCCAUCAAUGCCCUUAACUUAGCAUGAGACAUUUAGAAAUGUUAAGCACUUAAUUGGUACUGGAUCCCUGCCUUCAUUAGAGUCAAGCUGUGGGCUUGAUUUUUGCCAUAUUUUCCCUGACUUUAGGAGAUAAGGAGUUCCUUGAAAGCUAACAUAGGAGCUUUCUCAGUUUCCAUUGAUGUUCUGAAUUAGCAUUGGGUCAACCGAAAAGUCAACAGACCACCCAGCCUUUGUAUUCAUUAUUAUUGCCACAGUGACUAGUUAACAAAGACAGUUUAUUUCCAAACACCUUACUUUCCAUAUCAACCUCAUCCCAUGCCACUGGUAAUAACUUGAAUUACGAUAAUGCCAUCACAUGACUCAGAUUACUAUGUUACAUUUCUGUCUAGUGAGCAGUGCUCACUAGUGCUCUUUAGUUAUGUGAGAACGUCAAUUUCAGAAUCCCAAUUCGAAGUUAUGUUUCCUGGUACCAUUAUGCUAUCAAACACUGUAGCAAUCAAAGUAUCAGCAAAAAGAAGGCAUUCUAAAGUGGUAAUGUGGAGAGCUAAAUAAAAGGAUAAUUUACAACAUGUAAUUAAAGGUUUAAGGGAAACCAAAUGACUGGUGAAAAAUUGUAGGAAUAACAUAAAAGGUAGUUGUUGCCACCACAGUCUAAUGAUGUAAGGGGAAAUAGAAACUAACAGAACCACGCAAAGCCCUAAAAGAGGAUCAUCUAACAAGAAUUCUCACCUUCAGCAACCUAGUAGGAGUGAAAGUAGAAGAAUAAAUACCUUAAUAUCACUCUCUUCCUACCCUCCAGUCUCUUGCUGGUGUCUCCCAUGAAGACCUAAAAUCCAGAGAGCAAGGGUUCCAAUUGACUUAAUCCAAAUAACUCACCCUUCUCAAAUACAGAGCAGGGUGGUGAAUGGUGCAGAAAUGGGUGCAGAGGAGCAAAUGAAAAGUAUCCAGUAAAGUGUUACAUGCUCUUAUAGAUAUCUAAGAAGGCACCCUGAACCAAACUGGCCCAGUGUGGACCUAGCCUCAGGAUAAGGGAUAAUAGAAAAUAGCAAAAUUUUAAGAUAUUUUGGGUAAAGAUAUAAAAGUAGAAGGAUAUAUAAGCUUCCCUUUCUGGUUGAAACUCAGGAAGAUGCUGAGCCUCAAAGAGAAGCCUCUUAAACCAACAUGGUAUAAUGGCAUAUUAGAAAUUGUGACACAGCUAUUUCAUAUGGAGAUAAUCUGAGACAGCCCCCUAAAUGUCACAACUCAAGUCUGUCACACCAACAGAAAAAGGAGGAAGUGCAACCGAAAUGUUUCUAUAUUCACCACCCUCCUUGAGAAGAUUGUGGGAAGUCUGAGAUGGCUGAAAGAAAUGAAAAAGCCCUCCAAAUAAUCACAAGUGUCCACAGCCAACCAAUAAAAGCCACAAUGAGACCUUAAAUGUGGCCUCAGAUGCCAGUGGGACCAAGUGCUAAGAAUCAAAGACCUGAUGCACUCUGUCUCAGUUGGGCAGCAUAGAAGAGAAGAUAAGCCACACCCCUCAAUGACAAAUUGUUCCAUAAACCACAGUGGGAAGAAGAGUCUUUGGUCUACUCUGCUUUGAUGGAGUACAAUUGAAAUGAAAAAUAUUGGAAUGUCAGCUAACUUGAAAUUAGUUAGAUUCAGUUAUUAACCAUCAAUAAAAAUCGGUGUCCAAAGUA
Felis catus (domestic cat) is the source of this 1986-nucleotide long non-coding RNA. RefSeq lists it as uncharacterized. NCBI's taxonomy places the organism in Eukaryota, Metazoa, Chordata, Mammalia, Carnivora, Felidae. The transcript is spliced from 2 exons. The record is from RefSeq and is a predicted model, not a curated record.